Non-coding RNA from Mycena alexandri, 96 nucleotides. The record is from the annotation of a GenBank genome assembly. Lineage: Eukaryota; Fungi; Basidiomycota; Agaricomycetes; Agaricales; Mycenaceae.
CACCUGGUAGCACAUGGUGUGCACCUGCCUUCCAUAAAUGAGUAGUCAGUUGAAACAUGUAGGCAGGAGCUCCUCGUUCGACUCGGGGUCGGGUGA